UAGGGAAUCUUCGGCAAUGGGGGCAACCCUGACCGAGCAACGCCGCGUGAGUGAAGAAGGUUUUCGGAUCGUAAAGCUCUGUUGUAAGAGAAGAACGUGUGUGAGAGUGGAAAGUUCACACAGUGACGGUAACUUACCAGAAAGGGACGGCUAACUACGUGCCAGCAGCCGCGGUAAUACGUAGGUCCCGAGCGUUGUCCGGAUUUAUUGGGCGUAAAGCGAGCGCCGGCGGUUUAAUAAGUCUGAAGUUAAAGGCAGUGGCUUAACAAUUGUUCGCUUUGGAAUCUGUUAAACUUGAGUGCAGAAGGGGAGAGUGGAAUUCCAUGUGUAGCGGUGAAAUGCGUAGAUAUAUGGAGGAACACCGGUGGCGAAAGCGGCUCUCUGGUCUGUAACUGACGCUGAGGCUCGAAAGCGUGGGGAGCAAACAGG
This 429-nucleotide ribosomal RNA is filed under the name bacterium. Its description in RNAcentral is "partial 16S ribosomal RNA". It matches the Rfam family "Bacterial small subunit ribosomal RNA", at positions 355 to 776 of the family's 1533-position model. The record is from RNAcentral.